GAUGAAGAACGCAGCGAAAUGCGAUAAGUAAUGUGAAUUGCAGAAUUCAGUGAAUCAUCGAAUCUUUGAACGCAACUUGCGCUCUCUGGUAUUCCGGAGAGCAUGCCUGUUUGAGUAUCAUGAAAUCUCAACCAUUAGGGUUUCUUAAUGGCUUGGAUUUGGGCGCUGCCACUUGCCUGGCUCGCCUUAAAGGAGUUAGCGUAUUAACUUGUCGAUCUGGCGUAAUAAGUUUCGCUGGUGUAGACUUGAGAAGUGCGCUUCUAAUCGUCUUCGGACAAUUCUUGAACUCUGGUCUCAAAUCAGGUAGGACUACCCGCUGAACUUAAGCGUAUCAAUAAGCGGAGGA
Molecule: unclassified non-coding RNA, 346 nt
Filed under: soil metagenome
Description: partial contains 5.8S ribosomal RNA, internal transcribed spacer 2, and large subunit ribosomal RNA
Rfam family: 5.8S ribosomal RNA (bases 1-120)
Source: RNAcentral